This 935-nucleotide long non-coding RNA is filed under the name Heterocephalus glaber (naked mole-rat). RNAcentral's name for it is "lncRNA (ENSHGLG00000045958.1)". Lineage: Eukaryota; Metazoa; Chordata; Mammalia; Rodentia; Bathyergidae. The record is from RNAcentral.
AUUUGUUGUAGCAAUAAGACUAUACAAUUGUGAGAGAAACUGAAGAAGUGGAAUUCCAAAAGGCACUUUGAAAACUGACAUCACAAGGCACCAAACUUCCCCGAAAGCUGAGGAAAAAUAAGCACCUUCAAGAAGAGAAAAGACAAAAGCACUGACCUUGUGGCAAAGCACAGGAGGAAGGGAAAGCUACUAUGCAAGUAAGCAAGAAGGAUCCAGGAAGAGAGAGAGGAAUGUAAGAGAAGACAGUCACUAUGUUGAAGAGAAGUUUAGAGGACUGCCCAGAGUAAAGAAAUCCCCUUCCAAGUGUUUCUCCUGCAGCCUUGGCAAAAAUAUACACAUCAGGGAUACAGACUUCUUCAAUGACUUGUUUACUUGGAAGAAUGUUUAAGCCAAGCACAGUGGUACACACCUCUAAUCCCAGCACUUGGGAAGCUGAGACAGUAGGAUCACUGCGAUUUUGAGGCCAGCCUGGGCUACAUAGUGAUUUCAAGGCCAGCCUGUACUACAUUGUGAAACCUGUUUUAAAAAAGAAUGUUUAGUUUCUAAGUGUUUGGAAAUUUUCCUGUUAUCUUUCUAUUAUUGAUUUGUAGUUUAAUUCCAGUGUGGUCAGAGAACAUAUUCCAUAUGAUUUCAAUUUGUUCAGGUUUGUUUUAUGGUCUAUCAUUUUUCUUGAUAUCCAUCUAUCUUGGUGUAUCAAAUUCCAUGGGCACUUGAAAAGAAUAAGUAGUGUGUUGUCAGAGUGUUUAUAAAUGUUGAUUAGACCUUGUUGUUUGACAGCAUUGUUAGUUCUUCAUAUCUUUGCUGAUUUCCUACCUCCUUGUUGUAAACACUAUUGAGAGAAAAGUAUAGUGUUCUCAAAUUUGAUUGUGGACUUGCCUAUAUCUCGUUCCAAUUCUUUUUUUCUCCCCAUCAUAUAUGUUGCAGCUCUUUUUUGG